RNA transcript from Myotis lucifugus (little brown bat), 2087 nucleotides. It is a transcript of the gene named family with sequence similarity 124 member B, with no coding region annotated. Lineage: Eukaryota; Metazoa; Chordata; Mammalia; Chiroptera; Vespertilionidae. The transcript has 3 exons. The record is from RefSeq and is a predicted model, not a curated record.
AUGGACAAGACCCAAGAGCCCCCGGCCAUGACUGUCCACCUGCUGGCCAGCUCUGGGCAGGGUGCGCUCCUGCAACAAGCUCUGGACCAGCUCCUGGGCUGCCUUUGCCCAGAGGUCCGUCUCUUUAUGGUGUCAGAGCGGGUCAGUGCCGUGAAAAACUAUGACAAGUGCCACCCCAAGCGGUCCCGGUUCCCAGGGAUGUCUGUUCUGCUCUUCCUGCACCACAGCCGCGGAGAGGAGCGGCUGCUUCGAGUUCUCCACUUGCUGCGGCAGUGGCCCUGGCAGUGCUACCCCACCCUGAGCCUGCAGAGCGGCCCGUGUCCCUACAGUCUCGCGGGCCAGGAGUUCUACACUCUGGACAACCACAUGCCCGUCUGGGGCGUGAGGCAGGUGCACUGCGGCACCGAGGUCCUGCGGGUGACGCUCUACUGCACCUUUGAUAACUACGAAGAUGCCAUCAGCCUCUACGAGAUGAUCCUGCAGAGGGAAGCCACCCCGCAGAAGAGCAACUACUGUUUCUUCGUGCUCUACGCCACCGAGAGCUUCGCCCUGCAGCUGUCCCUGAAGCAGCUGCCCCUCGGAAUGUCGGUGGACCCCAAAGAGUCGUCGGUACUGCAGUUCAAGGUCCAAGAGAUUGGCCAGUUAGUGCCUCUCCUCCCCCAUCCGUGCGUCCCCAUCAGCCGCACCAGGUGGCAAACGCAGGACUACGAUGGCAACAAGAUUCUGCUUCAGAUCCAAUCGAAUCCAGGACUUGGUGUUAGGAACAGCGAGCUUUCCUUUCUGAAUGGCAACCCCGAGGCUGACAUGCUUCCCCAGGGAUCCAGGGUGACCCCGGUCUCCACAAGGAGGACCCUAGAGCUGAGAAGGCGAAGGAGCCGGGGCAGAAGGUUCAAAGCGGCUUCUCUGGAAUUUCCGGAGUCCAGUGGGAGCCCAGCAUCAGACAGCUCUCGUGGCACCUUGUGGAGAAGCCCUAGCUGCUCAUCCCAGGUCAGCAGCCCAGCUACAGAUGCCCAACUGCCUCUGUGUUCUUCCCACCUUGAACCCGGAGCCAGAAUGAAGGUCUUUGGUUGGGAAAACGGCUUUGAGAAGCUGGAGGCAGAGACCAAUGUCGACACAGGGCGCACCGUGGUCAACUCUGAACCCAGGAAAUCAUUUCUGAGCAGGUUUCCGAGGGAUCUGCAGACCAGCCAGCCACCACCAGCCUCCUCCUUAGGGGCAGCUGCCUCCAAAAACAACAAAAACUUGAAGGAAAGCAUCCAUCCUUUGUCACUUGCUGGCCAACGGGACCUUGAUGCAAGGAAGAUAAUCUCAAAAUGUCUUCAUCUGCCAGUUCAGGGUGAAGAAAAAGAAGGAGAAGAAGAAUUCUUUAUAUAGUAUAAAACAAUGUGGUUUUCUAAGAUACAAGAUCAAAUACAAUGUUCCAGAAAUGGAGCACUCUUUCUUGUUCAUCUGAGGGGGCCUGUAUGCUAGCCAUGCACAGAUUAAAGGUAGAUCUUAAAAAGUGGAUGAAGAACUUAACUUUGGUAUGGUUUUCUAUAAUAACAUUUAAAAAAUGAAAGUCUUAUUUAAGUUGAACUGUUGAGCUUCUUUGAAAAGCCCAGCAGGGGGGGGGGUGUUCUGACAUUUCAUUCCCACCUUUAACAGGUUACCUAAAUUUCUUUAACAUAAUACAUGGGUAAGAAUAUAAGUGCAUGGAAAUCAUGAGAAUAUUGCAAAAUUUGAAUGAGUACCUUAUAAAAUUGACUUGUAAAAUAAAACACUCUUCAAAUAUCACCUACUCUAUUCUGCUCAACGUAGGAAUCCAAUUUACAGCGUGAUAGGUUGAAAAUGCCAGUGGGUGAGGUGGGAGAGGCCCAAAUUUUGGUUUCAAGCUUUAAAAUUUACUAUUUAUGUGACCUUGAACUGUCAGCCUCUUUGAUCCCCUGUUUCCUUAACUAUAGUAAGGAAAGGUUGUUAGAAGAAUCAAGAUUAUGUAUAUGAAAGCAUUUGGAUAUUGCCAAGCAUUAUGAAUAUGCAAGACGGUAUUAGUACAGGGUCCUUCAGACCCACACUUUUAAAAUGUCAUGGCGACAAAGGAUUUUUUGAAA